This 1433-nucleotide ribosomal RNA is filed under the name Candidatus Pacearchaeota archaeon RBG_16_35_8. Its description in RNAcentral is "16S ribosomal RNA". It matches the Rfam family "Archaeal small subunit ribosomal RNA". Lineage: Archaea; Nanobdellati. The record is from RNAcentral.
AUUCCAGUUGAUCCUGCUGGCGGCUGCGGCUCUCUGGUUUGCACUUAGACAUGCAAGUCUUCCGAAAGGAGGCGUACUGCUCAGUAACACGUAGCUAACAUACCCUUAGGUCAGGGAUACCCUCGGGAAACUGAGGUUAAUACCUGAUAGGAGAUAUACCCUGGAAAGAUUUAUCUCUCAAAUUCGAGCCUAAGGAUUGGGCUGCGGUGGAUUAGGUAGUUGGCGGGGUAAAUGCCCACCAAGCCUGUGAUCCAUAAGGGCUCUUAGCGGAGAGGCCCUGAGAGGGAAUCUGAGACACUAUUCCCAGCCCUACGGGGUGCAGCAGUUAGGAAUCAUCUUCAAUGCGCGCAAGCGUGAAAGUUUGAGCCAGAGUGUCCCUCAUUGAGGGACUUUUGCCAAAUGUAAAAAGUUUGGCGAAUAAGGACUGGGCAAGACUAGUGCCAGCCGCCGCGGUAAUACUAGCUGUUCGAGUCGCAGCCACAAUUAUUGGGUCUAGAACAUCCGUAGCUUGCUUGAUAAGUUCCUUGUGAAAUCCUGUCUCUCAAGGGCAGGGCGCGCAAGGAGUACUGUUGAGCUAGAGACUGGGAGACGUGAGAAGUACGUUUAAAGUAGUGGUAAAAUACGUUAAUCUUAAGCGGACUAACAACAGCGAAGGCAUCUCACGAGAACAGUUCUGACAGUAAGGGAUGAAGGCUAGGAGCGCAAAACGGAUUAGAUACCCGUGUAGUCCUAGCAGUAAACACUGCACACUAAACAUUGGUGCCUCCUCGAGAGGCGUCAGUGCUGAAGGGAAGCCGANNNNNNNNNNNNNNNNNNNNNNNNNNNNNNNNNNNNNNNNNNNNNNNNNNUGGCGGGGAGACACUACAACGGGUGACGCGUGCGGUUCAAUUAGAUUCUACACCGUGAACCUUACCAGGACCGACAGCAGGAUGAAGGCCAGUCUAAAGGGCUUGCCUGACACGCUGAGAGGAGUUGCAUGGCCGACGUCAGCCUGUGCCGUGAGGUGACCUGUUAAAUCAGGUAACAGGCAAGACCCGCAUGCAUAUUUACUACUUGUACAAUAUGCAGAUUGCCUUGGUAACAAGGAUGAAAGUGCGGGCUACGUUAGGUGGGUACAGCCCGACAGCCCUGGGUUACACGCGCGCGUCAAUGGCGGAUACAAUGAGAUGCAACACCGAAAGGUGAAGCCAAUCCCUUAAAAUCCGUCUCAGUCCAGAUUGAGGUUUGUAACUCAACCUCAUGACGCUGGAAUCCGUAGUAAUCGGAUUUUAUCAGAGUCCGGUGAAUAUGUCCCUGUCUCUUGCACACACUGCCCGUCAAACCAACCGAGUUAUAUCAUGGUGAAACUCUUACGAGGAGAACCUUAAUAUGACAAGGUAGGUUAAGUCGUCACAAGGUAACUGUAGGGGAACCUGCAGUUGGAUCACCUCCUA